Molecule: long non-coding RNA, 474 nt
Filed under: Homo sapiens (human)
Lineage: Eukaryota; Metazoa; Chordata; Mammalia; Primates; Hominidae
Description: HSALNT0300329
Source: RNAcentral
CCGGGCCGUCGCCGGAGAACGGCUGGCCAGCGUCGUGGGGCGCGCUCCUCGGAAAAGUAGAGGAAGCGCACAGGUGGCUGAGCAUACAAACUGAAGAAAAAAUUGAAAUGCCAUUUUAAAAACUUGAAAGAAACCUGCCAGCUUUGAGAUCCUGCAUUUGAGAGCCAGCAUUGGCUGGAUACACCAUGCAAGUGAUAGAGCAUUUGGACCAGGAAGAGAAUUUGGAAGUAAAGGGAAUUGAUGUAGCACAGUGUUCAGUUUUAAGAGCUUCAUCUAGGUGAAGACUCAUAAGUAAUAUACAUAUGGUAUAGCCAAGGUCUUUUAUGAAGGAAAAGUAAUCACAGACAAAAAUUGUCAAAGAAGAAAAUGAAAAAAAGAAGCAAUUAAGAAGUUUUAGAACAGGGCUGGCAUUUUUCUCUUGUUUUUAUUGUUUGGAUUUCACUUUAUUUGUAUUAAACAAUUUUAAGAGGCAAA